CGCCCGGCGCUUCCGGCUGGAUCCCCAAUGGAUCCCCAGCUGAUCCCUCACGGAUCCCCAAUGGAUCCCCAAUUGAUCCCCAACUGAUCGCCACUGCAUUCCUGAUGGAUCCCUGAUGGAUCUCCACUACAUUCUUGCUGGAUCCCCACUGGAUCCCCGAUGGAUUCCCGCUGCUGCCUGCUGGAUGCCCACUCUGCUUCCCUGUGUGUCACCUCACACCGACCAUGACUACUGCAACCCUGAUGGUCCGGCAGCUCUGCCAAGCUCUGUUGAGAGAGCACAGUGGGAGAAGCAGGCUCUGCCUCUGGGAUCCAGAUCCACCUGCAGAUCAUGAGAAGGAACUCCAGCUGGUCAGCCACAAGGAGUAGCAGCAAACACCCAUGUCAGCUUAAGAAAGAGACAUUCCCUACAGCUGAAAAAGGCAGCAGAGAUCCCCAAAGUCAGUGACAGCAGCGCCUCAUCAGAGUCCCCCAGCAUGGAUUUGACCUGCAGAGAGCAGAUCUUUUCAGUGUCCAUCAGCUUUAAUGUUCCAAUUGACUCAUCUUCAAAGGCAAGACAUGAUCUAAGCCGAUUUGCAUAUGAACCUGCAUUUAUCCUCAGACUCUAAUACCAUGUUUCAGCAUUAAGACAUUUUAUUUAAUCUCAUGUCAUCAAUAGCUACAGUUGCUCUAGGAUUCUGAUUUUUCUCACAAGCAAUCCUGUUUUUCACUUAACAGCCUAGUGCUGUCAAAAAAAAAUAGUAUCUGCUCAACUAAUUCUUAUUUUUUAAUAAAGCAUUCUAAAACAUAAGUGAUGAUUGUGUAGUUAUAUAUAUAUGUACAUGUACAUAUAUAUAUACACCUAAGGAGUAAGUAAGGUCAUAUCACUUGAAUUUUUCUUAACUUAGCAAAAUACAUCAAAAAUACAUUGUUCAUAUAUUAUGUUGUCAUGUGUCUUGAUAAACCAUUUUUUUCAUUAGAAAUUAAUUCCACUCAAUGGCAGGAAGAUAAUUUUCAUAAACUGAUCACCUCAGUGAGUUAAUGGGGCUUAGCUGUCUUUAUGCAAUAACACUUGGAAAACUGAAUGUCAAACAGGAAUGUAUGCUUUUCCUGAGCCUUGUAUAAGCUUCUAAAACCAUGUGCAAUCCCACAUAACAAUGCCUGGUUUCCCUCUCUCUGGUGCCCGUUUCAAGCCCUCCCAGGGAAGCACCAUGCAAUUCCCAAAUCCCAAUUCCCAAAUUCAUGUGCAGAGCCCCUUGAGGGGGUGGACUCUGUAAGCAGAUCUCUUCACAGCAGCACUAAUCCCUUUCCAGCAAUAAAUUCCCCUUCUUUACUCCCAGUCCCCACAGGGCUGUGUCUGCACCAUUUAAAUGCAGUCAAAUUUUGGUCUCCAGCAAGGGUAAGGUCUAUGCUCAACCCCUCAUGUGAGGCAACUAAAGGGAAGGGAAAGGAAGAACAUGUACAGAAAGCCCUAAGUGGGUGGGACACAUUUUCACUUUGCUGUCAGUUCACAUUGUCAGAUACAAAGUGAUUUUGAAAGCAAUAGAAAAGCAGUGUAAUAACCGCGUCCUCAGUGUGGCUCCCAAAUCCAUUUCUGGCAGCUCCAUGGGUUCUGCACAUUGAUCAUUGCAGCCAAAGCUGCACUUAACUCAUGACUAAACACCAUCAGGAAACAGGGUGGUAAAUAAUGCAUUUCCCUGGGGCUUUUGACUGAACAUGUGAUCAUUUCAUACAUUUCAGAAACAGCCACCCACGCAGCAAACUGUCAGCUGCACUCUCCCUGCAUCACCUGGGGCUUAACUCAGCCCCAAAGAACCAGCAUCAGUCAGGGGAACCAGGACCUUGGUGCCACAGCAACAGCACAGUUUGAGCUUUCCCUGCUGUGCUCUGGGCACUGCUGGCUCCCAGUCCUUGUGUUUAUUUUCCAGGAGGUCCACAGGCAGAAACCACGGUCACUCUGCUGUGGCACUGCAAGCAACAUCAGCUACACAUGUUCAACAUAAAUAAGGCUGCCUCACCUUUUAAAGCACGCACCAACUCUCUUCAUGCACCUCUUCUAUCUCAGGGACAGUGUCUCUACAUAUUCUCAGAGAGAUUUUUAAAUUUUGACUUGAAUAUCAAGGCCCAAGACUGAAUUUUUAAUGAGAAUUUGCCAAGCCAGGUGCAUGUGCAUGUCAGCUGGUUCAUGCUGCCCAAACAGCCACAGGCAGCAGCUACAGGGGUGACAUCAUCUAUUCCUGGACAGCUCUCGUGGGAAUAUCCCCUCAUCCAGUCUCACACUUCAGAGCACAGAGGAGACAUAUCCAUUUUAAGGUGUGAUCAUUGGAAACUGGCUGGGAAAACUGACAUUCAUUUUAUUAGUAUUUGUUGUAUUUAUAAGAGAAAAAAAAGUAUUUUCCUUACCAGGACAGCAAAUGCAUCUGGAAUUUACAAAGCCACAUGUUUUCCUUCUUAAAACUUGGGCAUUUAAGCCAAAUAAUUCUGGUAGUAAAACAUGUUACAAUUGCUCCAUAGAUAUUUAUAUUAUAUUUCAAAA
Catharus ustulatus (Swainson's thrush) is the source of this 2514-nucleotide long non-coding RNA. RefSeq lists it as uncharacterized. NCBI's taxonomy places the organism in Eukaryota, Metazoa, Chordata, Aves, Passeriformes, Turdidae. The record is from RefSeq and is a predicted model, not a curated record. The transcript is spliced from 3 exons.